Molecule: ribosomal RNA, 433 nt
Filed under: uncultured bacterium
Lineage: Bacteria
Description: partial 16S ribosomal RNA
Rfam family: Bacterial small subunit ribosomal RNA
Source: RNAcentral
AACGAACGCUGGCGGCAGGCCUAACACAUGCAAGUCGAGCGGACCCUUCGGGGUUAGCGGCGGACGGGGGAGUAACGCGUGGGAAUAUGCCCUUCUCUACGGAAUAGUCCUGGGAAACUGGGGGUAAUACCGUAUACGCCCUUUGGGGGAAAGAUUUAUCGGGGAAGGAUUAGCCCGCGUUGGAUUAGGUAGUUGGUGGGGUAAUGGCCUACCAAGCCGACGAUCCAUAGCUGGUUUGAGAGGAUGAUCAGCCACACUGGGACUGAGACACGGCCCAGACUCCUACGGGAGGCAGCAGUGGGGAAUCUUAGACAAUGGGGGCAACCCUGAUCUAGCCAUGCCGCGUGAGUGAUGAAGGCCGUAGGGUUGUAAAGCUCUUUCAGCUGGGAAGAUAAUGACGGUACCAGCAGAAGAAGCCCCGGCUAACUCCGUG